GAUGAAGAACGCAGCGAAAUGCGAUAAGUAAUGUGAAUUGCAGAAUUCAGUGAAUCAUCGAAUCUUUGAACGCACAUUGCGCCCCUUGGUAUUCCGAGGGGCAUGCCUGUUCGAGCGUCAUUAUAACCCCUCAAGCUCAGCUUGGUGUUGGGGCCUGCUGCACUGGCAGCCCUUAAAAUCAGUGGCGGCGCCAUCUGGCUCUAAGCGUAGUAAUUCUUCUCGCUAUGGAGUCCUGGUGGAUGCUUGCCAUCAACCCCCAAUUUUUCUAUGGUUGACCUCGGAUCAGGUAGGGUUACCCGCUGAACUUAAGCAUAUCAAUAAGCGGAGGA
RNAcentral lists this unclassified non-coding RNA (329 nucleotides) under soil metagenome. RNAcentral describes it as "partial contains 5.8S ribosomal RNA, internal transcribed spacer 2, and large subunit ribosomal RNA". The stretch from base 1 to 120 matches the Rfam family "5.8S ribosomal RNA", at positions 35 to 154 of the family's 154-position model. The record is from RNAcentral.